RNAcentral lists this ribosomal RNA (253 nucleotides) under uncultured bacterium. Its description in RNAcentral is "partial 16S ribosomal RNA". It matches the Rfam family "Bacterial small subunit ribosomal RNA", at positions 524 to 776 of the family's 1533-position model. The record is from RNAcentral.
UACGAAGGGUGCAAGCGUUAGUCGGAAUUACUGGGCGUAAAGGGCGCGUAGGCGGUUGGAUAAGUCAGCUGUGAAAACCACGGGCUUAACUCGUGGCCUGCAGUUGAGACUGUCUGGCUUGAGUGUGGGAGAGGAGAGUGGAAUUCCUGGUGUAGCGGUGAAAUGCGUAGAUAUCAGGAGGAACACCGGUGGCGAAGGCGGCUCUCUGGACCACAACUGACGCUGAGGCGCGAAAGCUAGGGGAGCAAACAGG